GUCAAUAUGUCUAAGUGGUUAAGGAGAUAGACUCGAAAUCUAUUGGGCUUAUUGCCG
Ipomoea nil (Japanese morning glory) is the source of this 57-nucleotide non-coding RNA. NCBI's taxonomy places the organism in Eukaryota, Viridiplantae, Streptophyta, Magnoliopsida, Solanales, Convolvulaceae. The record is from Rfam.